GUAAAUUAAAAGAGAUGAAGCUGAUCCUCAAAAUUUGAAUUUCAAAUGGUGUAUAGAUGAAAUGUUCUGUGAGUUAAAAUCUUAAAGAUUUUUAUUCUAUCCUUUGUUUAAGCAAAAACAACACCAUUCUAACAUGGUACCCUCCUCCCCUCCCUUCUCAUUUACUUCUCUUAGCUUCUCUGUAUUUCCUGUGGCAGAUAAGUCAGAGACAUUCUGGCUGGGAGGACCUUAUUUUUAUUCCUCCAGGCAAAAGCCAUUCACAGCACAUUCAAGAUGUCACAAAAGUAUGAACUUCGUGGAAGUAACUUCUGUUCAGAACAAAUCAAAAUAGAGGCAGGUUCAUAUUCUCCCCUGCACUUGGUCGACCAGAAAAUCCAAAUUGUUAAGUUCCAUAUGAACUUCGUGGAAGCAGCUUCUUUUCGGAACAAAUCAAAAUAGAGGCAGUUCAACACUCCCCUUCACUUGGUCGACGUCGACCAGAAAAAUGCAAAUAGUUAAGCUCCAUAUAUGCUUUCUACCUCUGACUUGUUUUAUUAACUUUUCAUGGGUUUCUAGAAGCAAUUACUAUUUACUUGAUAUAUUCAGGCAGUGCUGGAAUAGCUUAAAGAUACAUGAAGGGAUAAGGAUCAAGUUUUGCUUGAAAAUUAAACGAGGGAACAACUAACAUGUUGUACAUUAAAAGUCAAUGAGUUGGUAACUAGAGUGGCAUAAUUUACUUGGUAUCUGUACAUUGCACAAUUUGAAUUGUUGAAUUAUGUUUCGCUCUUCUGCCAUAAUUUCUGUUAAUUUUAAACUUUUCCAGUAAUGCUGACAUUAUUUCAUACUGUUCCAGUAAUUCCAUUAGAUACCGAUUGAUUAGGAGGUCGUUAUGAUCAGUUGUUGAAUUUUACACAAUCUCAAAUGAUAAUGCCUAGCCAUAACAUUAUCCAUUGAUGCUUUGAAUACUUUUCACCCACCCUUUUAUUUUGAGAGAAAGAAAUGCUUACAAGAUAUGGACCUUUUUAUGGUACCCUGAGUUUGGGG
This 1023-nucleotide long non-coding RNA is filed under the name Nicotiana benthamiana. Its description in RNAcentral is "long non-coding RNA (NBEN_LNC012118)". The record is from RNAcentral. Lineage: Eukaryota; Viridiplantae; Streptophyta; Magnoliopsida; Solanales; Solanaceae.